This 496-nucleotide ribosomal RNA is filed under the name uncultured bacterium. Its description in RNAcentral is "partial 16S ribosomal RNA". It matches the Rfam family "Bacterial small subunit ribosomal RNA", at positions 29 to 507 of the family's 1533-position model. The record is from RNAcentral.
AUGAACGCUGGCGGCGUGCCUAAUACAUGCCAGUCGCGCGAACAGACGAGGAGCUUGCUCCUCUGACGUUAGCGGCGGACGGGUGAGUAACACGUGGAUAACCUACCUAUAAGACUGGGAUAACUUCGGGAAACCGGAGCUAAUACCGGAUAAUAUAUUGAACCGCAUGGUUCAAUAGUGAAAGACGGUUUUGCUGUCACUUUUAGAUGGAUCCGCGCCGCAUUAGCUAGUUGGUAAGGUAACGGCUUACCAAGGCAACGAUGCGUAGCCGACCUGAGAGGGUGAUCGGCCACACUGGAACUGAGACACGGUCCAGACUCCUACGGGAGGCAGCAGUAGGGAAUCUUCCGCAAUGGGCGAAAGCCUGACGGAGCAACGCCGCGUGAGUGAUGAAGGUCUUCGGAUCGUAAAACUCUGUUAUUAGGGAAGAACAAAUGUGUAAGUAACUAUGCACGUCUUGACGGUACCUAAUCAGAAAGCCACGGCUAACUACGUG